AUUGAACGCUGGCGGCCGGCCUAACACAUGCAAGUCGAACGAGUGGCGGACGGGUGAGUAAUGUCUGGGAAACUGCCUGAUGGAGGGGGAUAACUACUGGAAACGGUAGCUAAUACCGCAUACCAUCGGAUGUGCCCAGAUGGGAUUAGCUAGUAGGUGGGGUAACGGCUCACCUAGGCGACGAUCCCUAGCUGGUCUGAGAGGAUGACCAGUCACACUGGAACUGAGACACGGUCCAGACCCGUACGGGAGGAAGCAGGGGGGAAUAUUGGACAAUGGGCGGAAGCGUGAUCCAGCCAAGACGCGUAUGUGAAGAAGGUCUUCGGAUUGAAAAGCACUUUAAGUUGGGAGGCGUUACCAACAGAAUAAGCACCGGCUAACUUCGUGCCAGCAGCCGCGGUAAUA
RNAcentral lists this ribosomal RNA (405 nucleotides) under uncultured bacterium. RNAcentral describes it as "partial 16S ribosomal RNA". It matches the Rfam family "Bacterial small subunit ribosomal RNA", at positions 30 to 525 of the family's 1533-position model. The record is from RNAcentral.